GCCACCAAAAUUGAACAUGGAAUAAAAUAUUCUAAAUAAUGGCAACAUUUGAAAGCAUAAAUCAAAUAUGCAUAACCUACUGAAUUUUGUUCUCUGAAUAGAAGGAAGAACAAUUUUUGGCAUUACAGAAAGUGAAACAUAACAAAUUAUAUUAGUUGAUGGAAAUGUGACAAUUGAUUUUUAAAUAUUAGAGAGAUAACUGACAAUAAUAUGAAAGAUCUAAUUGGGUAAGUGAUAAAUUGGUGGCAGAAGAGCCAGUUUGCUGCCUAUGAGGAUGUACUAGAUGAUUAAAUUUGAUGGCUAGAGACCAGAAAAUUAGAGAAGGCAUCCCAAAAUCUUGGAAAAACUAAAUCAAAGAACAAAUCCAUGCUGUCACAGCAAUUCUUUAUAACUAUAUGAAGCUCCCU
RNAcentral lists this long non-coding RNA (407 nucleotides) under Pan troglodytes (chimpanzee). Its description in RNAcentral is "long non-coding RNA NONPTRT012993". The record is from RNAcentral. Lineage: Eukaryota; Metazoa; Chordata; Mammalia; Primates; Hominidae.